UUGAACGCUGGCGGCAGGCCUAACACAUGCAAGUCGAACGGUAACAGGAAGAAGCUUGCUUCUUUGCUGACGAGUGGCGGACGGGUGAGUAAUGUCUGGGAAACUGCCUGAUGGAGGGGGAUAACUACUGGAAACGGUAGCUAAUACCGCAUAACGUCGCAAGACCAAAGAGGGGGACCUUCGGGCCUCUUGCCAUCGGAUGUGCCCAGAUGGGAUUAGCUAGUAGGUGGGGUAACGGCUCACCUAGGCGACGAUCCCUAGCUGGUCUGAGAGGAUGACCAGCCACACUGGAACUGAGACACGGUCCAGACUCCUACGGGAGGCAGCAGUGGGGAAUAUUGCACAAUGGGCGCAAGCCUGAUGCAGCCAUGCCGCGUGUAUGAAGAAGGCCUUCGGGUUGUAAAGUACUUUCAGCGGGGAGGAAGGGAGUAAAGUUAAUACCUUUGCUCAUUGACGUUACCCGCAGAAGAAGCACCGGCUAACUCCGCG
This 489-nucleotide ribosomal RNA is filed under the name uncultured bacterium. Its description in RNAcentral is "partial 16S ribosomal RNA". It matches the Rfam family "Bacterial small subunit ribosomal RNA", at positions 30 to 507 of the family's 1533-position model. The record is from RNAcentral.